UGGUCUGGUAAGAAGAACGCAAAGGCUGCAAGCCUGGAAGACCUCAGCCUCCAAGCCCGGGGAAAUCUUCUCGCAGGUUCCUCUGUCAACUUACUACCCCCUGUUAUCAAGGGACAGGCUUGCUGGAGAAACUUAACAUCUUUAAAACCUGAACAUGUAUCUCCUACCACCCGAGGACAGAUGAUGGAGGUGAUGACCUGAAAGAGGGAGGAAGUGGAAGGGGAGGAGCACAAGACUUGGACCACUUGGCAUAGAUUUAUACCCACGUGGCAGAUGAGGAAACUGAGGCUCCAGCUGAACAGUCAGCAGGAGAAAAGUUAAAAUGGAAGGAAAAGAAAACCUAAGACGGAAGUACCCAAAGUAAUAUCCACGGAGGUGAGAGAGGGAGCUCGCCUCCCCAAGAGGCUCCCUGCUCCUCUGGGCAGUGAGGAGGACCAGUGGCUGCUUGGCAGGGACACAGGCCUGCCUGCCUGCCUGCGACCCCAAAGGGGGCCUUCCACCUACUGGGUUACAGAGAAGAGCCAACUCGGAGGUGAGCAGAGCCUGCAUCUUCUCCAGCACCCACAUCGUGCCUGGGAAAGGGGGUCAGGAGCCUCCAAUUCAAAACACAUCAGUGAUCAUGUUUUCUCAAGAAUUUGGGCUUUUCCAAUGUUAUUAGUACAUAAAAACCACAGGCCAGAUGUUAGAGGGACAACCAGAAAUGGAAUGCGUUGCAAUGACCCCAAGUUUAAAAAGGAGGAGGACCCAAGAGAAUAAAGGUCUGGUUUAGCCUUCCGGUCACGGUGGGCUCCCCAGGAAAGGACAGCGUGCAAUUUGGAGCCAGGGGAACUGUGGGAAAGCUGGCAAAGGGGCUUCCCAAAAUACUUUCCAGACACGUACUGUGGGCUUCUUUUUCUCGUACAGCAGAGAAAAAGCAAUCA
Molecule: long non-coding RNA, 920 nt
Organism: Camelus dromedarius (Arabian camel)
Lineage: Eukaryota; Metazoa; Chordata; Mammalia; Artiodactyla; Camelidae
Exons: 3
Source: RefSeq, a predicted model, not a curated record